This 586-nucleotide ribosomal RNA is filed under the name uncultured bacterium. Its description in RNAcentral is "bacterial SSU rRNA". It matches the Rfam family "Bacterial small subunit ribosomal RNA", at positions 338 to 916 of the family's 1533-position model. The record is from RNAcentral.
CCUACGGGAGGCAGCAGUGGGGAAUUUUGGACAAUGGGCGCAAGCCUGAUCCAGCCAUGCCGCGUGUGGGAAGAAGGCCUUCGGGUUGUAAACCACUUUUGUCAGGGAAGAAACGGUCUGAACUAAUACUUUGGACUAAUGACGGUACCUGAAGAAUAAGCACCGGCUAACUACGUGCCAGCAGCCGCGGUAAUACGUAGGGUGCAAGCGUUAAUCGGAAUUACUGGGCGUAAAGCGUGCGCAGGCGGCUUUGCAAGACAGAUGUGAAAUCCCCGGGCUCAACCUGGGAACUGCAUUUGUGACUGCAUGACUAGAGUACGGUAGAGGGGGAUGGAAUUCCGCGUGUAGCAGUGAAAUGCGUAGAUAUGCGGAGGAACACCGAUGGCGAAGGCAAUCCCCUGGACCUGUACUGACGCUCAUGCACGAAAGCGUGGGGAGCAAACAGGAUUAGAUACCCUGGUAGUCCACGCCCUAAACGAUGUCAACUGGUUGUUGGGAGGGUUUCUUCUCAGUAACGAAGCUAACGCGUGAAGUUGACCGCCUGGGGAGUACGGCCGCAAGGUUGAAACGUUAAAGGAAUUGACGG